GUGUCAACUCCGUUGAGAUAUGCUUUGAUUUCAGGUAUACCGGGUCCAGCUGCAGUCGGAGCAAAACACACACAGAGAACAGAAGCACUAGCGGUCAGUAGAAGAUUGACCCCGGCUAUAAAGAUGAACCCCAUCAGCCGGCAAUAUUCUCAGUAGCGAGGUUAAUGAGGGUGGCAAUUAUACCAGUUAGGAGUCCAACAAGGAAGGCAAGGAUCCAUUUCAAAAAUACAUACUGCAAGACUUGGACUUUGGUUCUGCUUCUCCAGUCAUGCAUAAACAGAUCGUUCUCAUUGAUCCUGCAUCAAACCAACUUCAAUUCAAUGUGAAGAAGAUCAACAUAAUAAGGAUUCAGGUUCUUCUUUUCGAUAAUGGAAAACUAGAAACGGGUUGUUCAAGUCGUUACUCGUAGUCCAAGCUCUCGAUAUGGGAGACUUUGGCUCCAACCAUAGCCAGUGGAGUGGAAGAAAGUGUCCGGUUUCUCUUGAGGAGGAGUGGUUGGUGGAGAGCAAUGCUCUCCGGAUCUCUUUCUUCUGCACCAGUUUCUUGCAUGGUUUGCGGAACUGCAGCUUCGGCGUAUUGGUUCGAGUGUUCCUCCAUCGGGCUCAUGGAAGCUGCAGAGCGAGAGAAACAGAGAGCUCUCAAACUCUGAGUCUGAAGUGAUCCAGCUACACGUAUUGACUAGGAUAUUAGAUUGCCUAGAAGCUAAGAACUGCUGGUAUCACGCAAUCCAUAUUUUCUGUAUAAUUAAAGAAACACGUAUAGAUAGACACUUGUUUGAUUUUG
This is a non-coding RNA of Malus domestica (apple), 783 nucleotides long. NCBI's taxonomy places the organism in Eukaryota, Viridiplantae, Streptophyta, Magnoliopsida, Rosales, Rosaceae. The record is from RefSeq and is a predicted model, not a curated record.